UACGUAGGGUGCGAGCGUUAAUCGGAAUUACUGGGCGUAAAGCGUGCGCAGGCGGUCUGUUAAGACCGAUGUGAAAUCCCCGGGCUUAACCUGGGAACUGCAUCGGUGACUGGCAGGCUUUGAGUGUGGCAGAGGGAGGUAGAAUUCCACGUGUAGCAGUGAAAUGCGUAGAGAUGUGGAGGAAUACCGAUGGCGAAGGCAGCCUCCUGGGCCAACACUGACGCUCAUGCACGAAAGCGUGGGGAGCAAACGGG
This 254-nucleotide ribosomal RNA is filed under the name uncultured bacterium. RNAcentral describes it as "partial 16S ribosomal RNA". It matches the Rfam family "Bacterial small subunit ribosomal RNA", at positions 524 to 776 of the family's 1533-position model. The record is from RNAcentral.